Molecule: ribosomal RNA, 253 nt
Filed under: uncultured bacterium
Lineage: Bacteria
Description: partial 16S ribosomal RNA
Rfam family: Bacterial small subunit ribosomal RNA
Source: RNAcentral
UACGUAGGUGGCAAGCGUUGUCCGGAAUUAUUGGGCGUAAAGCGCGCGCAGGUGGUUCUUUAAGUCUGAUGUGAAAGCCCACAGCUCAACCGUGGAGGGUCAUUGGAAACUGGGGAACUUGAGUGCAGAAGAGGAAAGUGGAAUUCCAAGUGUAGCGGUGAAAUGCGUAGAGAUUUGGAGGAACACCAGUGGCGAAGGCGACUUUCUGGUCUGUAACUGACACUGAGGCACGAAAGCGUGGGGAGCAAACAGG